GCCACCUUAGCUCAGUUGGUUAGAGCACUUCUUUUGUAAAGAAGGGGUCCUGAGUUCGAAUCUCAGAGGUGGCU
This 74-nucleotide transfer RNA is filed under the name Candidatus Collierbacteria bacterium. RNAcentral describes it as "tRNA-Thr". It matches the Rfam family "tRNA". Rfam says of the family: Transfer RNA (tRNA) molecules are approximately 80 nucleotides in length. Lineage: Bacteria; Candidatus Collieribacteriota. The record is from RNAcentral.